RNAcentral lists this long non-coding RNA (1008 nucleotides) under Anas platyrhynchos platyrhynchos (common mallard). Its description in RNAcentral is "lncRNA (ENSAPLG00000028772.1)". Lineage: Eukaryota; Metazoa; Chordata; Aves; Anseriformes; Anatidae. The record is from RNAcentral.
AUGAUACAGUAUUUUCUUCUUUUUUUUUCCUCCCCCCCCCCCUUUCCUUCCAAAGGAAAAAAAAAAAUGCUCCUAAGGCGGAGCAAGCGGAAACUAAUACAAUUAAAUACUUUGCUUUGCCUGCCAAGGACAUUUGACUGCUACUGUGCUACAUCAGGCUUGAUCCUCAGCCAGCACAGACUAGCAGAGCUCGGUUUUACUCCAGCAGAACUUCCCUGAUUAAGCAGGUAAGCACCUGGCCCACAGCGAGCCCAAGAAAUUUGCACUAACAGUUCUUUCAAGGAUGAAUUUCAUUACUAGAGACCAAAGGUGGACCACAUGCAAACACAUGCAUAUCAACACAUGCACAUCACACCACUGCCAUUCCUGAAACCACUUAGCAGGAGGCAUGCUGGAGCCUAUAAAAAAGGAAAACACAGAACUUGAAAUGCAUCAUUCCCAACAGACUCUGCUGGACGUAAGCAGAGGAGCCAGUAGAAGUUUCCUUCUGUAUUGGGCUGCCCCCAUGGCGUGUCCCAUGUGGGAACACACCACGCUUCCCAUCAGCUGUCUGUCCAGCUCCUUUCACCUGCUCUGGGUUUAACCAUAAAAUUUUUAUAACAAGUAUUUCUGUAUGCCUCACCUCUACUCUCCUUGGUAGCUGUCCCUAAUUUCCAUUAAAGCUCAUGGGGUGCUUCCAGGGGAGGGCACAGUCCUUCAGGAGGGUCUGUCACUGUGAGGAUGAACCGUUUCUGUGCUACCUGUCAUUUAUCUUUGUCUUCUAAAAUGGGAGGAUGAAACAGGUACUAAGAAGUUGUGAACCAUCACUAGCUGUCUGCAAACUUAUCAGCUCUCAUUUGCUGAUUUACAUUCAGUGCACAGACUUGUAAUCAUUUUAAAUGAGAAAAAAAAAAAGGAAAAAAUACACAUACAACAACCAUCAAUACAUAUUUAAUGAGGUUCGAUAGCUCUAAAUUUACUAGGAUUGAUCUCAGCACAGAAAGGCUGACUGUUCAAACUUACAGUAAC